Molecule: small nuclear RNA, 18 nt
Filed under: Arabidopsis thaliana (thale cress)
Lineage: Eukaryota; Viridiplantae; Streptophyta; Magnoliopsida; Brassicales; Brassicaceae
Description: snRNA_15051
Source: RNAcentral
UGUCUACUAUCCAGCGAA